UCAACCUUGUUGGGAGAAUCCGGCGCGAGCCGGUGCCGAAGGAGCAACCGCCCCGGAAACUCUCAGGCCAAAGGACCAGCAAGG
RNAcentral lists this non-coding RNA (84 nucleotides) under Rhizobium sp. Its description in RNAcentral is "Glycine sequence". It matches the Rfam family "Glycine riboswitch aptamer". From Rfam's summary of the family: This family represents the bacterial glycine riboswitch. Glycine riboswitches usually consist of two metabolite-binding aptamers domains with similar structures in tandem. The aptamers cooperatively bind glycine to regulate the expression of downstream genes. Lineage: Bacteria; Pseudomonadati; Pseudomonadota; Alphaproteobacteria; Hyphomicrobiales; Rhizobiaceae. The record is from RNAcentral.